Non-coding RNA from Arachis ipaensis, 237 nucleotides. NCBI's taxonomy places the organism in Eukaryota, Viridiplantae, Streptophyta, Magnoliopsida, Fabales, Fabaceae. The record is from RefSeq and is a predicted model, not a curated record.
GAUUUUUUUCCAAUUUUUUGGAGGUGGAGAUUAUUGAGUUCAUGUACGCACCAAGGCAAAGUUAAGGCAGUGGAUGAGGUUGUGAAAGCUAUGGUGGUGGAUCAUAAUAUGGCGGUGGUGUUGCAGUGAGUGCAGUGGAGUUUGUGGUGGUCAUCGAUGAUGUGGUGAUGGAUACGAAGGAGGAAGCGGCGGAAGAGAGCAAAUCGAUAAAAAGUACUGAGUCACCCGGCCACAGAG